Molecule: long non-coding RNA, 408 nt
Organism: Gorilla gorilla gorilla (western lowland gorilla)
Lineage: Eukaryota; Metazoa; Chordata; Mammalia; Primates; Hominidae
Exons: 3
Source: RefSeq, a predicted model, not a curated record
AUGAAGUGGGGUUUAGACCCUAAAUGCUUCAGUGUGAGCUGUGAAGCCCCACAGCUUGGCUGGAUCAAUCUGGACUUCGGGCAGAUGCGCACUAAGGGCUGCUUACCUAGAGGAGCCACGUUUCUCCUGGACAGUCAAGAUAACUGCCAGAGGAGCCACAUGCUGGGUAAAUCCUGAACCCAAAGUGGAAUUUUGCCCUAGUAUAAUGGGUUCAUAUUCGAUUGGCUGCACUUAGCUAUAAAUCCUGAGGAGGAGAAGAAGAAAGACGCCAGAAAGUAAUUGGACUAGAAGAACCUUAGUUUGGAAGCAAAACACAGAAUCUAGAAACUAUGAAGAAAUUUACAUGCACACAUAUGUAUACAAGCCAUGAGAGGGAAAUGGGAAUGUACCUGAGAGUGUCGUCAAAGC